Long non-coding RNA from Pseudomyrmex gracilis, 1384 nucleotides. RefSeq lists it as uncharacterized. The transcript is spliced from 3 exons. The record is from RefSeq and is a predicted model, not a curated record. NCBI's taxonomy places the organism in Eukaryota, Metazoa, Arthropoda, Insecta, Hymenoptera, Formicidae.
UAAAAAAAAACUCAAGCAAUAUGAUUCUUUCUUAAAAUAAAUACUUGCAAUUCUUCAAUGUGACUUCGUUCGCUCAACAUUUGAUAACAAUAAGUACAUAUUUACGUAUGAUUAUUGUUAUACAAAAUUAGAACUAAUGAAAAUAGCAGAUUUAACACAAUAAUCGGAAAUAGCAAAUAGUAAAUUUACAAUUGUAAUGUGUUAUUUAAAACACUAGUACGUAUUGUGUAUUUUUUAUCUCGUGAGAAAUCACUAUUAAAUCGAUCAAAUAUUUAACACGGAAUGUUUGUUUGAUAUAAUUGUAACAUAUUGUGUCACUUUUUUAAGAAUUUGUUUUUCAUGCAAUUUAUGUAAUUACGCAAGAAUCGAGUUGUCGUUGAUUUUUAAAUGCCGGAAAUGUCAGUCCGCAAAUAAUUUUCGAUGAAAGAUAAACAACACAAUCGCAUUGCAAUAAUAUAAAAACGGCUAUGGUGCUGUGCACGAGUUGUUAGUACGAGCGUACGUUUCGACGUAAAAGAAAAAAAAAUGAAGCUCUUCAGCAGACUGUUCUGUUUCUUUCUGAUGUGCAUCGUAGCAACGAUGUGCAUGACUGUCGGAAGUCAUUCUUCUGGUGGGAUUGAAGGACAGCGAAAAGUAGCUUGUGGAAGAGGAAGACGACCACCAACAACAACACCAGCAACAACAACAACCGGAUCAUAAAUAAAAUUUUACAAAAUAGAAGGCAAGCCGCGGAUGAAAUUAAUCUCCAGUUCUCCAGGCGGAUAUAAAAAUUGCAAACGUCGUAGAAGAAAUGUAAAAUUAUUAUCUUUUGUGACCUUUAAAUGACUUCACUAUUUUGAUCCGCGUAUAAAUAUUGUUACGUAUCAAAAUUCAAGACACCUUGAUAUGCGAGCAAAUUAAUAUUGGAAUUAAAAAUUUUGUAUUUGUUACACAGUUCGCGACAUCAUCUAAUUUUAUCGAUGUUGCUUUGAUGUAUAUUUCAAACGUUACACGAGUCGUAAUAAAGACGCAACAUACAAAGUGUUUCAAUGUUUAUUAUAUAAUCCUGGCAGUCGUUGUAUUAUUCGCAAUAUUUUUGACUCAUACAUGUUUCUUAUACAACAAUGCAUAAUAUUACGUUACUUACAAUUCUAGUCUUAAUAUGUCCUUAGUUCUCGCGCGUAAUUAUAUAUCGUACAUCGAUACUUACACAAGAGAAAAGGAAAAACAUUGAAAUUGCCAAAUGAUACCUCUGUACAGACACACAUCUGUUAUUGUCUAUCCUAUAUAUUACAUUUUAUUGCUCUCCGCUCUCUCGUUUUAAUCGCCUAUACUUCUUAUAUACAAUGGCUACAUGUAAUAGUCGUAAAAAUCUAUAGGAAAAAACCUAUAAAAAAAAAAAAAA